UUAAGCGACUAAGCGUACACGGUGGAUGCCCUGGCAGUCAGAGGCGAUGAAGGACGUGCUAAUCUGCGAAAAGCGUCGGUAAGGUGAUAUGAACCGUUACAGCCGGCGAUGUCCGAAUGGGGAAACCCAGUGCAAUUCGUUGCACUAUCGUUAACUGAAUACAUAGGUUAACGAGGCGAACCGGGGGAACUGAAACAUCUAAGUACCCCGAGGAAAAGAAAUCAACCGAGAUUCCCCCAGUAGCGGCGAGCGAACGGGGAGCAGCCCAGAGUCUGAAUCAGCUUGUGUGUUAGUGGAACGGUCUGGAAAGUCCGACGGUACAGGGUGAUAGUCCCGUACACCAAAAUGCACAGGCUGUGAACUCGAAGAGUAGGGCGGGACACGUGGUAUCCUGUCUGAAUAUGGGGGACCAUCCUCCAAGGCUAAAUACUCCUGACUGACCGAUAGUGAACCAGUACCGUGAGGGAAAGGCGAAAAGAACCCCGGCGAGGGGAGUGAAAAAGAACCUGAAACCGUGUACGUACAAGCAGUGGGAGCACCUUCGGGUGUGACUGCGUACCUUUUGUAUAAUGGGUCAGCGACUUAUAUUCUGUAGCAAGGUUAACCGUAUAGGGGAGCCGCAGGGAAACCGAGUCUUAACUGGGCGUUAAGUUGCAGGGUAUAGACCCGAAACCCGGUGAUCUAGCCAUGGGCAGGUUGAAGGUUGGGUAACACUAACUGGAGGACCGAACCGACUAAUGUUGAAAAAUUAGCGGAUGACUUGUGGCUGGGGGUGAAAGGCCAAUCAAACCGGGAGAUAGCUGGUUCUCCCCGAAAGCUAUUUAGGUAGCGCCUCGUGAACUCAUCUUCGGGGGUAGAGCACUGUUUCGGCUAGGGGGUCAUCCCGACUUACCAACCCGAUGCAAACUACGAAUACCGAAGAAUGUUAUCACGGGAGACACACGGCGGGUGCUAACGUCCGUCGUGAAGAGGGAAACAACCCAGACCGCCAGCUAAGGUCCCAAAGUCAUGGUUAAGUGGGAAACGAUGUGGGAAGGCACAGACAGCCAGGAUGUUGGCUUAGAAGCAGCCAUCAUUUAAAGAAAGCGUAAUAGCUCACUGGUCGAGUCGGCCUGCGCGGAAGAUGUAACGGGGCUAAACCAUGCACCGAAGCUGCGGCAGCGACACUAUGUGUUGUUGGGUAGGGGAGCGUUCUGUAAGCCUGCGAAGGUGUGCUGUGAGGCAUGCUGGAGGUAUCAGAAGUGCGAAUGCUGACAUAAGUAACGAUAAAGCGGGUGAAAAGCCCGCUCGCCGGAAGACCAAGGGUUCCUGUCCAACGUUAAUCGGGGCAGGGUGAGUCGACCCCUAAGGCGAGGCCGAAAGGCGUAGUCGAUGGGAAACAGGUUAAUAUUCCUGUACUUGGUGUUACUGCGAAGGGGGGACGGAGAAGGCUAUGUUAGCCGGGCGACGGUUGUCCCGGUUUAAGCAUGUAGGCUGGUUGUCCAGGCAAAUCCGGAUAAUCAAGGCUGAGGUGUGAUGACGAGGCACUACGGUGCUGAAGUAACAAAUGCCCUGCUUCCAGGAAAAGCCUCUAAGCAUCAGGUAACAUUAAAUCGUACCCCAAACCGACACAGGUGGUCAGGUAGAGAAUACCAAGGCGCUUGAGAGAACUCGGGUGAAGGAACUAGGCAAAAUGGUGCCGUAACUUCGGGAGAAGGCACGCUGGUGUGUAGGUGAAGUCCCUGCGGAUGGAGCUGAGACCAGUCGAAGAUACCAGCUGGCUGCAACUGUUUAUUAAAAACACAGCACUGUGCAAACACGAAAGUGGACGUAUACGGUGUGACGCCUGCCCGGUGCCGGAAGGUUAAUUGAUGGGGUUAUCCGUAAGGAGAAGCUCUUGAUCGAAGCCCCGGUAAACGGCGGCCGUAACUAUAACGGUCCUAAGGUAGCGAAAUUCCUUGUCGGGUAAGUUCCGACCUGCACGAAUGGCGUAAUGAUGGCCAGGCUGUCUCCACCCGAGACUCAGUGAAAUUGAACUCGCUGUGAAGAUGCAGUGUACCCGCGGCAAGACGGAAAGACCCCGUGAACCUUUACUAUAGCUUGACACUGAACAUUGAGCCUUGAUGUGUAGGAUAGGUGGGAGGCUUUGAAGCGUGGACGCCAGUCUGCGUGGAGCCAACCUUGAAAUACCACCCUUUAAUGUUUGAUGUUCUAACGUUGGCCCCUUACCGGGGUUGCGGACAGUGUCUGGUGGGUAGUUUGACUGGGGCGGUCUCCUCCCAAAGCGUAACGGAGGAGCACGAAGGUUAGCUAAUCCUGGUCGGACAUCAGGAGGUUAGUGCAAUGGCAUAAGCUAGCUUGACUGCGAGCGUGACGGCGCGAGCAGGUGCGAAAGCAGGUCAUAGUGAUCCGGUGGUUCUGAAUGGAAGGGCCAUCGCUCAACGGAUAAAAGGUACUCCGGGGAUAACAGGCUGAUACCGCCCAAGAGUUCAUAUCGACGGCGGUGUUUGGCACCUCGAUGUCGGCUCAUCACAUCCUGGGGCUGAAGUAGGUCCCAAGGGUAUGGCUGUUCGCCAUUUAAAGUGGUACGCGAGCUGGGUUUAGAACGUCGUGAGACAGUUCGGUCCCUAUCUGCCGUGGGCGCUGGAGAAUUGAGGGGGGCUGCUCCUAGUACGAGAGGACCGGAGUGGACGCAUCACUGGUGUUCGGGUUGUCAUGCCAAUGGCACUGCCCGGUAGCUAAAUGCGGAAGAGAUAAGUGCUGAAAGCAUCUAAGCACGAAACUUGCCCCGAGAUGAGUUCUCCCUGAGACUUUAAGUCUCCUGAAGGAACGUUAAAGACGAUGACGUUGAUAGGCCGGGUGUGUAAGCGCAGCGAUGCGUUGAGCUAACCGGUACUAAUGAACCGUGAGGCUUAACCUU
This 2899-nucleotide ribosomal RNA is filed under the name Klebsiella pneumoniae. RNAcentral describes it as "23S ribosomal RNA". It matches the Rfam family "Bacterial large subunit ribosomal RNA". The record is from RNAcentral. Lineage: Bacteria; Pseudomonadati; Pseudomonadota; Gammaproteobacteria; Enterobacterales; Enterobacteriaceae.